AUGGGUGAACUUCUCAAGACUCCUAGCAUGAGAAUGAGACGUCUACUGUUCCAGGCCAUCGCUUAUUCAUAUGAUACAGAGCAGGAUGCCUUUAUAAUUAAUGGGAGACCAUGUAGGAUCACACUAAAAGAUGUGGAGCAUAUAACAGGCCUGCCCUGCAUGGGGAAGAAUCACGUCUCUUCAAAUCACAAUGAUACUUUGGAGUUGUGGAAGGAACUGAAAGACCACAAUGACACAGAAGUAACUUUGAAAGGAUUGCUAGCCAAGAUGAAAGGCGACAGCACACCUAAUUUUGUCAGGCCAUUUGUCUUGUACACCAUAGGCAAAUAUGUAUGCCCGACAACACAGUAG
This 351-nucleotide ribosomal RNA is filed under the name Triticum aestivum (bread wheat). RNAcentral's name for it is "partial small subunit ribosomal RNA". Lineage: Eukaryota; Viridiplantae; Streptophyta; Magnoliopsida; Poales; Poaceae. The record is from RNAcentral.